CGUUUUGCAAAUUCGCAGGCC
Molecule: microRNA, 21 nt
Filed under: Oryza sativa (Asian cultivated rice)
Lineage: Eukaryota; Viridiplantae; Streptophyta; Magnoliopsida; Poales; Poaceae
Description: osa-miR1428a-5p
Source: miRBase by way of RNAcentral